This 305-nucleotide ribosomal RNA is filed under the name uncultured bacterium. RNAcentral describes it as "bacterial SSU rRNA". It matches the Rfam family "Bacterial small subunit ribosomal RNA", at positions 333 to 636 of the family's 1533-position model. The record is from RNAcentral.
CGACACCUACGGGGCGCAGCAGUGAGGAAUAUUGGUCAAUGGGCGCGAGCCUGAACCAGCCACGUCGCGUGAGGGAAGACGGUCCUAUGGAUUGUAAACCUCUUUUGUCAGGGAGCAAAGGGCGCCACGUGUGGCGCUUUGCGAGUACCUGAAGAAAAAGCAUCGGCUAACUCCGUGCCAGCAGCCGCGGUAAUACGGAGGAUGCGAGCGUUAUCCGGAUUUAUUGGGUUUAAAGGGUGCGCAGGCGGAAUGUCAAGUCAGCGGUAAAAUUUCGGGGCUCAACCCCGUCGUGCCGUUGAAACUGG